AGAGUUUGAUUCUGGCUCAGGAUGAACGCUAGCUACAGGCUUAACACAUGCAAGUCGAGCGAUGAAGUCCCUUCGGGGACGGAUUAGCGGCGGACGGGUGAGUAACACGUGGGUAACCUGCCUCAUAGAGGGGAAUAGCCUUCCGAAAGGAAGAUUAAUACCGCAUAAGAUUGUAGUUUCGCAUGAAACAGCAAUUAAAGGAGUAAUCCGCUAUGAGAUGGACCCGCGUCGCAUUAGCUAGUUGGUGAGGUAACGGCUCACCAAGGCGACGAUGCGUAGCCGACCUGAGAGGGUGAUCGGCCACAUUGGGACUGAGACACGGCCCAGACUCCUACGGGAGGCAGCAGUGGGGAAUAUUGCACAAUGGGGGAAACCCUGAUGCAGCAAACCGCCGCGUGAGUGAUGACGGUCUUCGGAUUGUAAAGCUCUGUCUUCAGGGACGAUAAUGACGGUACCUGAGGAGGAAGCCACGGCUAACUACGUGCCAGCAGCCGC
This 495-nucleotide ribosomal RNA is filed under the name uncultured bacterium. RNAcentral's name for it is "bacterial SSU rRNA". It matches the Rfam family "Bacterial small subunit ribosomal RNA", at positions 8 to 518 of the family's 1533-position model. The record is from RNAcentral.